UGAAGUUACGGUGGUGUUGUGACUUGCAGGAAGGUGACGCGGCUGCCGCGGCUGGCGGUGCUCCCCCAGCGGAAGGGGCUCCCCCAGCGGAAGGCGCUCCCCCGGCUGAAGGAGCACCUGCACCGGCCGCGGAGGGAGCCCCCGCGGCACCUCCCGCAGAAGGCGCACCUGCACCGCCCGCAGACGGAGCUGCACCUGCGCCCGCGCCUCCUGCGGAGGGUGCGCCGGCGGCGGCACCCGCGGCGCCCGCAGAAGGAGCGCCCGCCCCUGCACCUCCUGCAGAAGGUGCCCCGCCAGCACCUGCGCCCGCGCCUGCCGCGGAUGCGGCACCGGCCCCCGCCCCCGCCCCCGCUCCCGCAGCAGAACCAGCGCCUGCGCCGGCACCAGAGGCACCUGCCGCUCCCCCACCAGUCGAAGCAUCCGCCUAAGAAGUGCAUUGAUGGAGUUUGCAAUUCAAUCAAGUUUUAUGAAACAUGGGAAAUUACAUUUUAAUUUUAUCAUUUAUCGUGGCGUCAUCCCGGCUCAAUGCCUGGGCCCGCUAUAAAAGUAUUUCAAUUCAUAAAUGAAAAUAAUAUAAAAUAUUAUUGAAAUAUUAGUAAUUAUGUAUUUAAUAUUGUCAUUUUGAUAUAUCUGUUAUAUCUACAACACAACGUCUUUGUUAUUUUUAUACUGUUUCAUCACUUUUGUGUAGAUAAGUUUUGUAUGAUACAUAAAAUAAAACAGAUAAAUGAAUAACAGAAAAAUUGUUUU
Molecule: long non-coding RNA, 750 nt
Organism: Helicoverpa armigera (cotton bollworm)
Lineage: Eukaryota; Metazoa; Arthropoda; Insecta; Lepidoptera; Noctuidae
Exons: 5
Source: RefSeq, a predicted model, not a curated record